This 64-nucleotide transfer RNA is filed under the name Ixodes hirsti. RNAcentral's name for it is "tRNA-Ala". Lineage: Eukaryota; Metazoa; Arthropoda; Arachnida; Ixodida; Ixodidae. The record is from RNAcentral.
AGAAAAGUAUUUAAAUUAAUAAAAUCUAAUUUGCAUUUAGAAAUUGGUUAUUCCCUUUUCUAAA